ACACUCAAUCCAUUUCAUCCGUUGAUUUCAAAAGCAGCAGCCGCGUGUCACUUCUUCCGCUCCUCUCUUUAGUUUCUUGAUUUUAUUUUCAAAUUUGAAUCCCGCUGUGUAUCUCUAUGUCUCCUUCUUACUCUCAUAUUUUCUCUCCCACAUAUUUUAAAAUAUAGCCAUUAAUGAUCGAUUGUUCUUGCAAAAGCUUGAUUCUAGGGUAUUUCGAAGAGUAUAGAUUUAUGACUAAGCUGUUGACUGACGAUUCUCUCUGUUGUGUGCCCCUUUCUCUAGGGUUCCAAGCGCUGCUUCGCCGCUGGAAAAUCAAAUAUCCUAUUAAAUCUAUCUUUCUUGCCGGAGCUGGUUGUGUGAUUGUGUUUGUUUAUACUAGCAAAUAUUGAAGCAAGGCCAGGUCCAUGUGAUCCCAGAACACCAUAAUUGUGCAAACCUGCCUCUUUGUACCAGCACACACUCUCCAACAUGAACUGGGCUGGAAACUCUGCGACAGAACCUUACAUAGUUGGUCUGCCAUGGAUAUUUACAGAAAACAUACAAGAGUGUGGAUGUUCACACGGGUGUAGCCAUGUUGAUUCUCGAUAAUUUUAACAAAUUCACAAUCAUUGAUAGGUCGUAAACAAGUCAAGUUUCUUAUUCAAGGAGAGCUUAUUGUAAUCAAAAUGAUAUUGCGACUUAUAUAUUUGGAUUCUUCUUUGGUAAAACCACUUUGAUCGAGUUAUCUCCAAAGAAGACAUGGGAAGGUUUUAUUGGAGCAUCUUUUACAACUAUCAUUUCUGCAUUUGUGGUGGCAUCAAUGCAGCAUGGAUGCAGACUUACGUUAAGGGAGUUUUGUGCCCAUACAUCUUUUCCAAGAACCGUUUGGAUAAUGGGGUGUUUCUGGUGGGUUACGGAGUUGUGAAUAUGCUCCCAUUCGUUUCAAGAAAAGCUUUACGGAUCAUUAAGAAUUCAUGGGGUGAAAGCUGAGGAGAAGAUGCAUACUACAAGUUCUGCAUAGGCCAAACACAUGACAUUUGCAUGGUGGAUUCCAUGGCGUCUAUGGUAGCAUAGCGCAAAAAUGUUGGGUUUGGAAAGGGGGGUUAUACUUCUUGACUGGCAAAAAACAUAAAAAUCCAUUGAUUGGUAUCAUAGUGCUUAGCUCUUCCUCUCUUUUUCGCCUUUUCGGUGUUAGGAAGGGAGUCGACUCUGUGUAUAAUUAAUUUUUUGUGUUGGCAUUUGUUUGAGGGUUGAACAGCCCUUGACAGUUUAUAGCUCUGGGCUUCACACUACUGACAUUUUAUUUACAUUCUUAUGUUUUUGGAGCA
Molecule: long non-coding RNA, 1307 nt
Organism: Daucus carota subsp. sativus
Lineage: Eukaryota; Viridiplantae; Streptophyta; Magnoliopsida; Apiales; Apiaceae
Exons: 6
Source: RefSeq, a predicted model, not a curated record